CAGCCGCCGCGGGAAUACGUAGGUCCCGAGCGUUGUCCGGAUUUAUUGGGCGUAAAGCGAGCGCAGGCGGUUAGAUAAGUCUGAAGUUAAAGGCUGUGGCUUAACCAUAGUACGCUUUGGAAACUGUUAGACUCGAGUGCAGAAGGGGAGAGUGGAAUUCCAUGUGUAGCGGUGAAAUGCGUAGAUAUAUGGAGGAACACCGGUGGCGAAAGCGGCUCUCUGGUCUGUCACUGACGCUGAGGCUCGAAAGCGUGGGUAGCGAACAGGAUUAGAUACCCCCGUAGUCCCUGUCUCUUAUACA
Molecule: ribosomal RNA, 301 nt
Filed under: uncultured bacterium
Lineage: Bacteria
Description: partial 16S ribosomal RNA
Rfam family: Bacterial small subunit ribosomal RNA
Source: RNAcentral